GUGAACAUCUAAAUCUAUC
RNAcentral lists this small nuclear RNA (19 nucleotides) under Arabidopsis thaliana (thale cress). Its description in RNAcentral is "snRNA_12931". Lineage: Eukaryota; Viridiplantae; Streptophyta; Magnoliopsida; Brassicales; Brassicaceae. The record is from RNAcentral.